Molecule: ribosomal RNA, 1552 nt
Filed under: Vibrio alginolyticus
Lineage: Bacteria; Pseudomonadati; Pseudomonadota; Gammaproteobacteria; Vibrionales; Vibrionaceae
Description: bacterial SSU rRNA
Rfam family: Bacterial small subunit ribosomal RNA
Source: RNAcentral
AAAUUGAAGAGUUUGAUCAUGGCUCAGAUUGAACGCUGGCGGCAGGCCUAACACAUGCAAGUCGAGCGGAAACGAGUUAUCUGAACCUUCGGGGAACGAUAACGGCGUCGAGCGGCGGACGGGUGAGUAAUGCCUAGGAAAUUGCCCUGAUGUGGGGGAUAACCAUUGGAAACGAUGGCUAAUACCGCAUGAUGCCUACGGGCCAAAGAGGGGGACCUUCGGGCCUCUCGCGUCAGGAUAUGCCUAGGUGGGAUUAGCUAGUUGGUGAGGUAAGGGCUCACCAAGGCGACGAUCCCUAGCUGGUCUGAGAGGAUGAUCAGCCACACUGGAACUGAGACACGGUCCAGACUCCUACGGGAGGCAGCAGUGGGGAAUAUUGCACAAUGGGCGCAAGCCUGAUGCAGCCAUGCCGCGUGUGUGAAGAAGGCCUUCGGGUUGUAAAGCACUUUCAGUCGUGAGGAAGGUGGUGUAGUUAAUAGCUGCAUUAUUUGACGUUAGCGACAGAAGAAGCACCGGCUAACUCCGUGCCAGCAGCCGCGGUAAUACGGAGGGUGCGAGCGUUAAUCGGAAUUACUGGGCGUAAAGCGCAUGCAGGUGGUUUGUUAAGUCAGAUGUGAAAGCCCGGGGCUCAACCUCGGAAUUGCAUUUGAAACUGGCAGACUAGAGUACUGUAGAGGGGGUAGAAUUUCAGGUGUAGCGGUGAAAUGCGUAGAGAUCUGAAGGAAUACCGGUGGCGAAGGCGGCCCCCUGGACAGAUACUGACACUCAGAUGCGAAAGCGUGGGGAGCAAACAGGAUUAGAUACCCUGGUAGUCCACGCCGUAAACGAUGUCUACUUGGAGGUUGUGGCCUUGAGCCGUGGCUUUCGGAGCUAACGCGUUAAGUAGACCGCCUGGGGAGUACGGUCGCAAGAUUAAAACUCAAAUGAAUUGACGGGGGCCCGCACAAGCGGUGGAGCAUGUGGUUUAAUUCGAUGCAACGCGAAGAACCUUACCUACUCUUGACAUCCAGAGAACUUUCCAGAGAUGGAUUGGUGCCUUCGGGAACUCUGAGACAGGUGCUGCAUGGCUGUCGUCAGCUCGUGUUGUGAAAUGUUGGGUUAAGUCCCGCAACGAGCGCAACCCUUAUCCUUGUUUGCCAGCGAGUAAUGUCGGGAACUCCAGGGAGACUGCCGGUGAUAAACCGGAGGAAGGUGGGGACGACGUCAAGUCAUCAUGGCCCUUACGAGUAGGGCUACACACGUGCUACAAUGGCGCAUACAGAGGGCGGCCAACUUGCGAAAGUGAGCGAAUCCCAAAAAGUGCGUCGUAGUCCGGAUUGGAGUCUGCAACUCGACUCCAUGAAGUCGGAAUCGCUAGUAAUCGUGGAUCAGAAUGCCACGGUGAAUACGUUCCCGGGCCUUGUACACACCGCCCGUCACACCAUGGGAGUGGGCUGCAAAAGAAGUAGGUAGUUUAACCUUCGGGGGGACGCUUACCACUUUGUGGUUCAUGACUGGGGUGAAGUCGUAACAAGGUAGCGCUAGGGGAACCUGGCGCUGGAUCACCUCCUUA